UUCCGCGUGUUUGGCUGGACGCCCCAUCUUGCAAGAUUGUAAAUAAAUUCUUUUCUCCUCCAGAACCGAGAGAGCAUUUAUUCCCUUACAGGUACCACUUUAUUUCCGACAGGUUCAUAGCCAAAUCUGAACAGAUUUAUCCAGCCGAAAGAUGGUUGUUGGGCGUUGGCUAAAGCCGCACUGACACACAUGCAGUUUCUCUUAGCCUUUUUGAAAUACCGAAAAUAUUCUUGGAAGCACUUUUAUUGCUUUACAGACCCCAAGGGGCCCAAGAAUCCCAAACGGACAGAUAGAAUCAUGAAGCUCAUGGAGGGGAAAGGACUUCUCCAGAGGUCAGGAGUGGCUUCUUGGUGGACACCUGACCAGUGCCAGGAGCAUCCGAAAGCAGAGUUGAGACCCAAGAUAGACAGUUCCUUACUUAGGCUGCUAGUCCGUGACCAGGGCCUUCCGAGAAAGGCAGAAGGCAUUUCCCUCCAAGAAGACAGGUCAUAAUUGAGUUCUGGGAAAGACCUCACCAUCAGCACAGAUUUUAUGGACUGGACGUGAGUCAGCAAAGAAACCCUGGAGUGAAAAACAGACAUCAAGCGCUGCUGCUAAGGCAUAGGGUGGGCACCCUGACGUGUGUGAGCAGGCACUUGAGGAGGCUGUGUGUUUUUGCGUUUCGCUUCUGCCCCACUUAUAAACCAGCGAUUGUCACCACUUCUGUGCAGGCGUUAACAAUGCCAAUGCUCCGUUUUCCUCUGAGUAAAUAAUAGCCAUUUAUUAACUCCUUACUAUGUGGCUAACACUGUGCGAAUUAUAUUUUAAAUCCUCUCCACACCCCUUUGUGGUAACAAUUACUCUUAUUUUAUAGAUGAGGUGCCAGAGGCUCAAAAGCCUUGUCUAGGAAUGGUAUGAGGAAGGUUUCUCAUAGAUGAAGCAAUUAUGUGGUGGCAGUGGUGUCAUUUGACCUAUAAUCUGACCAAUUUUUAAGCUCCUGGUGUUAAACUUAAACUUGCUUCCUUUUGGGAUGCUGACUGGCUUACGCUGGUCUACCCUAAGCUGCUGAUCUUGGCUAGCUUCUGUAAUAGUCAAUAUUCUGUUUUUACUGUUGUUUUGUUAUAUAAAUCAGAGUGGUGUAACGCAACCCAUGCCCUAAAAUGCUGAUUUAUUCCCAACUCAACUAAUGUUUGGUAGAAAGAACAAGAUCAUAUGUUAACAUAUGGGCUACAUGACAGGUCUUUAACACACACACACACACACACACACACACACACAAAGUGACUUUUUUACUUAAGAAGAUUGAGGACAGUCAAAACUUCUUUACUUUUUUUUCUUCAACCUGGUAAUUUUUGUAACAUCCGUAGCUUGAGAUUUGGAAGGUCAUAUUGCACAUUUGGUACAGGCACCUGCAAAUCACAGAUGGUCACUUCUUGCAGGUAUCUCAGAAGGGGCCAGCUCAUUGCUUUGAGCUGAUAUAUAUAUUUUUUCUCUUAUAACAGUAUGAGUGAAGGAACCACCAGUUUGAUUUUUAUGGCAAAUAGGGAAGUGGAGAGUAGAUGAGAGAGAAGAGAGAGGUGGAGAACUUACGUCUUUUCAAGAUACCGGUUAGCAUCUUUCCUGUUUAAAGUCUGUAUGGGAGGACAUACAUUUGCAUAAACUAUCAUAGUAGCCACAGUGGGUUGUCUGGCAGAGGAGGAAAUCCCGAGGAACAAAAAACCGAACAGUAUUUUCAGGUCAAGGGCACACACAGACCCAAGACGCACAAAUCAGAAGGAUGCCAGUGAUGGUGCAGCAACAGACAAGAGGGCCAUCAUUAUUACAUCCUUUGGUCGUUGACUGUUGAAGAACAGCCAAAGGGACUCACCUGAUGGUAUUUUUGCUCCUCACUGAAGGCCACCAAGAUGACUGAGAUAAACAGAUUCAGCACUACAAACGUCAUGAGGACAAUGCAUGACCCAAUCAGGAAGGAGCCCAGAACUGGGCUAUAGUCCAAGACCUGCGAAGAAGAAAGCCAGAGCAUCCCCUGGUGCCCCAGCUCCUAGAGGCCACCGUCAGGGGGAAAACUAGUCCUUAGAGCUAGGCUGAGCUUGGAACCAGGGCAUCAUGUGUUGACGUGGCCAGUGGAUAUAUCCACCCACACUCCCCCAUCUCUGCCCCAGCUCAAGGAAGGAACUUCUAAAUUCAUCUCCGCAUCUCCUGGCACAGAGAGAGUGCUCUGUGCACAUAUGGGAAUUAACCAGAAAUUACCUUGGCCCUGUACCUUCCAGACGAUUGGGAUGGAAGGAAAAUUGGCACAUCCAAGCCAAGUCCAGAUGCAGAAAGGAAUCCUUUAUCAGGAGAAGGCACGGCGCAGAGCUGAUGUAAUCAUGUUCAUUUUGGGGUUCAACCUGAGCAGAUGCCAUAGCUUCACUGUUGACAGGAGUACCAAGAAGGCAACGAUGUAGCCAAGCACCGCAUCAACUGCUGCUGUCUCACUGAAACUGACCCCCCUGCAGGACCAGAGCACAGAGUGCUGGAUGUCACGCUCCGCCAGGAUAGCCCUCUUCACAAACACCACCAGGGCACUCCAGCUGGCCAGGAUGAUGGCCAACUCCAGAAGGUUCCACUUGCUGCCGAAAUAGCACCAUCCUUGCUUCCUCAUGAGCUUGCCCUGGGAAAGGAGCCCGAGGCUCUGCUGAAGGCUGUGCCAAAAGCCUCCCACCACUCACCCACCUGGCUGCUCUCCACCUGGUCAUGAAUGACCCCUGGCAGAGUGCUUCAGAGCCUCUCCCCAACCUUGUGCACAGACCCCAUCUGCUUCCAUCACUAACCCAGGCUGCAGGAUUUUGGAGUGCCACAGGGACCACAGAUGAGAACAAAAGAUGCUAACGAACCUCCACAAUCUACAUUCAGAGAACCCCCAGCUGUGGGGGCAGCUGCCUCUCUCAAGGGCAUUUUGGAAGGUCUCAGUUCACAGAAACUGAACCACUGCGCCUCUUCCUUCCCCAACCAGGAAGGACCACCCUUCUGGGUUCUCAAUUCCUGAGAGGAGCUGAAGUUGGAUUUCUGAGGCUACAGUGAGCAAGCUCAAUCAGCCAACACCAUCAGUAGGAGCAUCUCAGGGUUGAGGAGGCAAACACGUAAGGAGAAAUCUUCCGUCUCCUUUCUUCAGGUCCCAGCCCCAGAGAAGGAAGGAGUAGGAGAAGGAACAGGCACACCUCCACAUCCAUUUCUGGCCCAUGGAGCCACAAGCCCACCCCUUACCUGCACGAUCAUGUAGUAGAGGAGAAAGAGGAAAUAGGUGACCUCUGCUGCCACCACGAAGGGGUGCCAGCCAUCAGUGAAGGGGUACAGGCGGAGGUUCUGCAGGUCCGCUUGCAGAAAGAAGGUUCCUGGGAAGCAAAUCAUGUUCUGCUCAACCCCCGCCACCCUCCACUCAGCACCACCACUUCUGACUUGGAAGCCAUCAGGUCGAAAGACUCAAGUUCAGACCGUUUAGGUCAGGCUGGACUGAGCAGAGGAGCAUAUAAAUGGCCUUCAGACCCAAAGCCUCAAGCGACUGCAUGUCGAUAUAUGGUGGACACCAAAGGCAAAUGGACAGACCAGAAGGAACAAAGGGAGCUGCGAUGGAAGACCUGCUCCCUGCCGCUGCCCGCUGGUGCACAUGCAGUCACCUGCAGCCACUGCCACCCACGUCAAAUCAGCCUACUUCAAGGUGGCUUAUUUAAAGCUGCUUUGUCCAAGGGCAGUUCACCAAAGAGCAAGUCAUCUGUGACCAAUAGGCCUAAAAUUCAACCUUCUUUUUAAUCAUUUUUCAUCUAUUUGUGUUGUCUUUUUU
This is a long non-coding RNA of Choloepus didactylus (southern two-toed sloth), 3799 nucleotides long. RefSeq lists it as uncharacterized. NCBI's taxonomy places the organism in Eukaryota, Metazoa, Chordata, Mammalia, Pilosa, Megalonychidae. The transcript has 9 exons. The record is from RefSeq and is a predicted model, not a curated record.